UGGGGAAUAUUGCACAAUGGGGGAAACCCUGAUGCAGCGACGCCGCGUGAAGGAUGAAGGUAUUCGUAUUGUAAACUUCUUUGAUCGGGGACGAAAAAAAUGACGGUACCCGAAGAACAAGCCACGGCUAACUACGUGCCAGCAGCCGCGGUAAUACGUAGGUGGCGAGCGUUAUCCGGAAUUACUGGGUGUAAAGGGCGUGUAGGCGGGCAGACAAGUCAUGUGUGAAAUACCACGGCUCAACCGUGGGACGGCAUGUGAAACUGUAGGUCUUGAGUACUGGAGGGGAAAGCGGAAUUCCUAGUGUAGCGGUGAAAUGCGUAGAUAUUAGGAGGAACACCGGUGGCGAAGGCGGCUUUCUGGACAGUAACUGACGCUGAGGCGCGAAAGCGUGGGGAGCAAACA
The sequence is a ribosomal RNA, 405 nucleotides long. It matches the Rfam family "Bacterial small subunit ribosomal RNA", at positions 355 to 774 of the family's 1533-position model.